GCCGAAGUGGCGGAAUGGUAUACGCGGUAGUCUCAAAAACUACUAGCCGCAAGGCUGUGUGGGUUCGACUCCCACCUUCGGCACUA
RNAcentral lists this transfer RNA (86 nucleotides) under Candidatus Daviesbacteria bacterium RIFCSPHIGHO2_01_FULL_36_37. RNAcentral describes it as "tRNA-Leu". It matches the Rfam family "tRNA". Rfam says of the family: Transfer RNA (tRNA) molecules are approximately 80 nucleotides in length. The record is from RNAcentral. RNAcentral also lists the same sequence under 1 other name. Lineage: Bacteria; Candidatus Daviesiibacteriota.